UAGUCCACGCCGUAAACGAUGUCAACUAGCCGUUGGGCUCACUUAGGAGCUUAGUGGCGCAGCUAACGCGAUAAGUUGACCGCCUGGGGAGUACGCCGGCAACGGUAAAACUCAAAGGAAUUGACGGGGGCCCGCACAAGCGGUGGAGCAUGUGGUUUAAUUCGAUGCAACGCGAAAAACCUUACCUACCCUUGACAUCCUCAGAACUUGUUAGAGAUAACUUGGUGCCUUCGGGAACUGAGUGACAGGUGCUGCAUGGGCUGUCGUCAGCUCGUGUCGUGAGAUGUUGGGGUUAAGUCCCCGCAACGAGCGCAACCCCUUAUCCCUUAGUUGCCAGCACGUUANGGUGGGAACUCUAGGGGANACUGCCGGUGACAAACCGGNGGAAGGUGGGGAUGACGUCAAGUCAUCAUGGGCCCUUACGGGGUAGGGGCUACACACGUGCUACAAUGGUCGGUACAGAGGGUUGCGAAGCCGCGAGGUGGAGCUAA
Molecule: ribosomal RNA, 491 nt
Filed under: uncultured bacterium
Lineage: Bacteria
Description: bacterial SSU rRNA
Rfam family: Bacterial small subunit ribosomal RNA
Source: RNAcentral